Danio rerio (zebrafish) is the source of this 1251-nucleotide non-coding RNA. Lineage: Eukaryota; Metazoa; Chordata; Actinopteri; Cypriniformes; Danionidae. The record is from RefSeq and is a predicted model, not a curated record.
AUAUUUUAGUUUUUAUUCUUUCUGACCAUGUGUAAAAUUUAAUAACAAAAUGGAUCUUGCAUGCUUUUAGCAAGUUGUGUAAUUAUAUAUAGUUAUAUAGUUGUCUAAUAUUGUGUUCAUUUAUAUUUAGGUGGACCCAGCAAAAUAUGAUGUAUUGUUGGGUAUUGUCAAUGAAUGUCACCACUGGUUUUUGAUGGUAAAUGCUUCUGAUUUGAAAACGGACUCUUCUUGAAACUUUCCCUAUUCUCAAGUUUUUUUAUUUUUAUUUUUUGUUAAAUCUAGGCUAUAUAGCCCAAAGGAAAGCUAUUCUUCUUGAUUCUCUUGGAGAGACUGAGGUGAAGAAAAAGAAGUGUUUGGAAACGGCAAGCGCAAUUAUGAAGAAACUUCCAGUUUCACAUUGGGUGUGUGAAACACUGCCUCACCCACAUCAAAAAGAUGGAACAUCAUGUGGUGUGUUUGCGUUGAAGGUAUGUGUCAUUGACCAUAUGAAAUAUUAAUAAAAUUUGGAUUGUUUAUUUAUAUUUGUUUUUGUCCAGUUUGCAGAAUACAUCCUUAAAGAGAAGGAAAUUGACUUCUGCAGUGCACCACAAGAAGUGAAACGACUCCGAUUAGAGAUUGCAUCAACACUUCUUGACCAAUCUGGUAUGUUUUUAUUCGUGUUUAACUUAAUUUUCAGUGCGUUUAUGCAUUUUCAGAACUUACUUAAAAUUCACAAAAGAAAUUUAAACAGCUCAUUUUAUCUCAUAGAUGAUCUAAGUGACCUGUGUCACUUUUGUGGGGAGGCAGAGACAUUUGAUGAAUCUGAGAAUGUUCUCUGGGUAACAACAUUUGUCUUUUUUUUUUUUUUUUUUUUUUUUAAAUGCAUUGUAAGCAAGUUUUAUUUAUUUAUUUUUUAAUCAUAGCAUAUGAUUGAAUAACACGAACAUUUUGCUUACAACGUUGCUUCCCUUUUUAUUAUGAGGCAGAUGUAUUAAUAAUACCCCCUCUCUAUUUUUAGAUUUCCUGUGACCAAUGUGGGCGAUGGUUCCACGUGGCCUGCGUUAAUAAUCCAGCAACAGAAGCAGACUACAAAUGCUUUUCCUGUAAAUAAAAAAAUGAAAUGUAAAAACGUUUAUUUUCUUGUUUAUCUCUUUGGAAAUUGCUAUGGUAUACCUGCUAUAAAUUUGUCUCUAAAAUGUAAACCUGUGUAUGGCAAACAUGCUGUCUAAAAUAAAAUUCCGCUUAAGGAAUAAGGAAAAACCUUCUAGAUUA